Molecule: non-coding RNA, 73 nt
Organism: Camelus ferus (Wild Bactrian camel)
Lineage: Eukaryota; Metazoa; Chordata; Mammalia; Artiodactyla; Camelidae
Source: Rfam
GGAGGAUACAGCUCAGUGGCAGAGUGCAUGCUUAGCAUGCAAGAGGUCCUGGGCUUAAUCCCCAGUACCUCCA